GUGAGAUGUUAGGGUUUUGUUAGGGUAUGUUAGAUAUGUUGCUGAUCGAAACAUAUCCAUUUUUAUGCUUUUAUGUUGUUGAAAAAUUAUUCUUGUUUAUUUUCAAUUUUGACAGUUUGUUUCUUGAUUAGUUUUUUGUUGAUUGACGCACGAAGUGCAAAACUAAAAGAAAGUUGACUCAAUUUGGAAAUUGGGAAAAGUGAACUCUGAUCAAGUUUGCGGAUCCCGUCAAGUAGUCCGGAUGUGCUGCUGCUGACGGUCACGAAAAUUUUAAUUUAAAGACCGCCAUUUAUAAGUUGCCCCCGGAACGCAUAGGAGAAAUAAGAACGGAAAAAUGGCAAACUCCUUUGAUGACGGAUGCUGACGAUUUGCUGGAUAAUAGGUUCCAAUAAGCUACCCGGAUAUACGGCUGUCGACGAAUUCUAUCGGAGGCCGUGCUGCUGGUGUCACCAAGUUGCCUCCGGAAAACAUAACCUGAUGCGGAAAGCGAAACGGUACCGACAAUUUAUGGAAUGAAUCCUGAAUUUCAACGAAACGAGCGGAGGGUCUGUUGCUGCUGCUGAUCUGACGUUGUUUACUGCGAUUGUGGGGAUCCCGGUAUUAGGCAUCCGGAAGGCAUGGGCUGCAGGAAAGAAAACUGUCCUUUGAGUAAGGAGAUUGCCGACAAUUUGCAAACGAAUUCAAUUUUCAAGAUACCUUCCGGAUGUUCAGCAGUCGAGGAUGUUUACCGAUUUCGUAUGGAUGCCGAUAUGAAACUGUCUGCGGAACGCAUAUAGAGCUGAAAGUAAAAAGGCACCAGUCGAACAGAACUUCAACUUUGAUGCCGUUAAUGUUUGGCACCAGUCGAAUAGAACUUCGACUUUGAUGCCGGUAAUGUUUUACAUGGCCAAGCUGACUCCGGAAUCAUCCGAAAGCAUCGGAAAUGUUAAAAUUUGAGCCUUUCAAAUAAUGAUUUUCUAUUUUUCGAUCGUGGAUCAAUUUGAUUUUGAUGCAUGAUUUUUUCCAGCCGGAUUUGAUUGCGGGUUCAUGUUGGGAAAUUUCUUGACUUCCCUGACCUUAGUAUCAUCAUGUUAGUCACAUAAUAUAUAAAAGCCAAUUUGCUAGCUUGGCUUAGUAACCCUGUGAUUAGUAACUUAAUAUAUUAACACUGAGCUGCCGAGGCCCCAAAACCCAGAAUAGAGAUGGAAUUGUCAGAGAGAUACCUAGAGGAAUUCCUAAAAGAACUACUAGAAGAAUACUCAGAGGCACAUCUGAAAGAAUUUAAGAACACCAAGAGUAACUGCCACCAGAAGUUUAUCUAUAGACAAUCCCUCCAGUAGUUCCUUAAUUCCGCUAGAAGUG
Long non-coding RNA from Armigeres subalbatus, 1341 nucleotides. RefSeq lists it as uncharacterized. The transcript is spliced from 5 exons. The record is from RefSeq and is a predicted model, not a curated record. NCBI's taxonomy places the organism in Eukaryota, Metazoa, Arthropoda, Insecta, Diptera, Culicidae.